This 497-nucleotide ribosomal RNA is filed under the name uncultured bacterium. RNAcentral describes it as "partial 16S ribosomal RNA". It matches the Rfam family "Bacterial small subunit ribosomal RNA", at positions 28 to 507 of the family's 1533-position model. The record is from RNAcentral.
GACGAACGCUGGCGGCGUGCCUAAUACAUGCAAGUUGAGCGCUGAAGGCUGGUACUUGUACCAACUGGAUGAGCAGCGAACGGGAGAGUCACGCGUGGGAAAUCUGCCUUUGGGUGGGGUACCACAUUGGGAAACGAAUGCUAAUACCGCAUAAAAACUUUAAACACAAGGUUUAAGGGUGAAAGAUGCAAUUGCAUCACUCAAAGAUGGUCCAGUGUUGUAUUAGUUAGGUGGUGGGGUAAAGGCUCACUAAGGCGAUGAUACAUAGCGACCCUGGUAGGGUGGUGGGCCACAUUGGGACGGGGACACGGCCCAAACGCCUACGGGAGGCAGCAGUAGGGACUCUUCGGCAAAGGACGAAAGUAUGACCGAGCAACGCCGCGUGAGUGAAGAAGGUUUUCGGAUCGUAAAACUCUGUUGGUAGAGAAGAACGUUUGUGAGAGUGGAAAGCUCAUCAAGUGACGGUAACUACCCAGAAAGGGACGGCUAACUACGUG